RNAcentral lists this ribosomal RNA (468 nucleotides) under uncultured bacterium. RNAcentral describes it as "partial 16S ribosomal RNA". It matches the Rfam family "Bacterial small subunit ribosomal RNA", at positions 28 to 507 of the family's 1533-position model. The record is from RNAcentral.
GACGAACGCUGGCGGCGUGCUUAACACAUGCAAGUCGAACGGAAAGGCCCUGCUUUUGUGGGGUGCUCGAGUGGCGAACGGGUGAGUAACACGUGAGUAACCUGCCCUUGACUUUGGGAUAACUUCAGGAAACUGGGGCUAAUACCGGAUAGGAGCUCCUGCUGCAUGGUGGGGGUUGGAAAGUUUCGGCGGUUGGGGAUGGACUCGCGGCUUAUCAGCUUGUUGGUGGGGUAGUGGCUUACCAAGGCUUUGACGGGUAGCCGGCCGGAGAGGGUGACCGGCGACAUUGGGACUGAGAUACGGCCCAGACUCCUACGGGAGGCAGCAGUGGGGAAUAUUGCACAAUGGGCGGAAGCCUGAUGCAGCAACGCCGCGUGCGGGAUGACGGCCUUCGGGUUGUAAACCGCUUUCGCCUGUGACGAAGCGUGAGUGACGGUAAUGGGUAAAGAAGCACCGGCUAACUACGUG